GCCGGGUGCGGUGGCUCACACCUGUAAUCCCAGCACUCUGGGAGGCCGAGAUGGGAGGAUCACUUGAGCCCAGGAGCUCGAGAUCAGCCUGGGCAACAUAGUGAGACCUCUUCUCUA
RNAcentral lists this non-coding RNA (117 nucleotides) under Pan troglodytes (chimpanzee). The record is from Rfam by way of RNAcentral. Lineage: Eukaryota; Metazoa; Chordata; Mammalia; Primates; Hominidae.